UGGGGAAUUUUGGACAAUGGGCGAAAGCCUGAUCCAGCAAUGCCGCGUGUGUGAAGAAGGCCUUCGGGUUGUAAAGCACUUUUGUCCGGAAAGAAAUCCUCUGGGUUAAUACCUCGGGGGGAUGACGGUACCGGAAGAAUAAGCACCGGCUAACUACGUGCCAGCAGCCGCGGUAAUACGUAGGGUGCAAGCGUUAAUCGGAAUUACUGGGCGUAAAGCGUGCGCAGGCGGUUUUGUAAGACGGAUGUGAAAUCCCCGGGGCUUAACCUGGGAACUGCAUUCGUGACUGCAAGGCUAGAGUAUGGCAGAGGGGGGUAGAAUUCCACGUGUAGCAGUGAAAUGCGUAGAGAUGUGGAGGAAUACCGAUGGCGAAGGCAGCCCCCUGGGCCAAUACUGACGCUCAUGCACGAAAGCGUGGGGGAGCAAACAGGAUUAGGAUACCCUGGUAGUCCACGCCCUAAACGAUGUCAACUAGUUGUUGGGGAUUCAUUUCCUUAGUAACGUAGCUAACGCGUGAAGUUGACCGCCUGGGGAGUACGGUCGCAAGAUUAAAACUCAAAUGAAUUGACGGGGUCAUAGCUGUUUCCU
RNAcentral lists this ribosomal RNA (588 nucleotides) under uncultured bacterium. Its description in RNAcentral is "partial 16S ribosomal RNA". It matches the Rfam family "Bacterial small subunit ribosomal RNA", at positions 355 to 1375 of the family's 1533-position model. The record is from RNAcentral.